CUAUUAUUGUACUUCUGAGAAACAUUCAAGAUGAAUAAAGAGCAUUUAGCCACGUAGGGCACCCAGUAUGAAGGACUCUGCUUUUCUGCUAGGAUGUAGAUGUUAAGACAGAAUAGAUCACAAUAAAUAUAGAAAUCUUGGCGUGGUUGAGGCACCAUUAUUCAGACAAAUGACUGUUUCUCUUUUUAUUUACUUGCCCAGUGUCAGUGCCAGGAUUUCAAGGGGAGCCUUGAUGUCGAGUGAAGAGCAACAUGGACGCCAAGUGCAGGAGAACAUCCUGCAAGUGGUGAGGUUGUCACAGGGGUCCGUAUUGCCUGUGAUUAUUUUAACAAUCUCCUACCAGGGUACCGCUGGGAUCCUACAAUGGAAACUGUCCCAGAUUUUCCUGGAUGCCGAGGUGAAACAAUUCCCAAAUCACAGAUCAGUUAAUUACAACCAAUUUAGUUCCGCUCUUUGCACACCUGUCUGGAUUGGACUCCCUUUAACGUACAUCUGGCUGUUUUUUUGGGAGGCCAAGGGGCAGAAGGAAACAUCGUGAUCAUGCACUCAUAGGUUUCCAAUCAAAGUCCCAGGAGUAUCCUUCAACAAGGUAAUUAACUUGAAUUACUCCUGUAAAACCUCCAGCUGUAACGAAAUCAUUCAAAAAUGAAGAAUACAGUACAGUUGUGUUUGCUUUGGAUGGAAGUUUUAGCUAAGCAGCUAAAUAUAAAAGUAAACAGCACGGAAUUGUCGCCGUGGCGAAUUGUGAUCCUGACCUCGCACACCUGCGAUUGUAACCCAGGACUGAGGAGCCUGUCUGCUCCUGUUCUUUAAUUGCUCUACAGAAGUCGCCUCACCUGGUGUUUCAGGUGUUAAUCAGCUGCUAAUUAAAAUGUAUUCUCUUACAUCUGGCCCCCGAGGAACCUAAUUGUACACCAGCCCCCCCCCCAGGCCCCCACCCUUCCUAUUUGCCCCUGUCAUUAUAUCGGGCUUGACUCACCUCUUUGGCCUCGUUUAUAAGCUUUAUAUACUGAAUAGAUAACUGUGAGAUGUGCUGUCAGCGGCGAUGGGCACUUAGCCUGUGAUCUGUGUUCUCUCUCUGCGGACGCUGGGGGGGCUUUUAGUCUAACUGGCACCUUUUAUUUUAUUAUUGAAAAACGAGGUCGGGAGUGUCUAUUCGGCUGCCCCCAUUUUUAUUAAUAUUGUCCCGUCGCUUGUAGGACUAAUGAUGCAUUAUUAUGAAUUUAUUCUAAAAGAUAAAUUUUAAAAAUUAGAUUUUCUGCUGUCCCAUCCGUUCAGGAUGUGGUUCAGCCAUGGGAAGCCGUGCUGCCGGGGGGGGGGGCAGGUCUGUGAGGGCUUCCCCUGUGAACCCAGAGGACUCAGAUGCUGUACCUGUGAUCAGGAGGUUGUUGACUCAAACAUCAGGCUCCACAGAAUGAUUUCACCAGCAGGCUCUUCAGUUAGCGGCUGCUUUCUCGAUGCUAAGUGUCGUUUUAGGUAAAAGUGUCUGUUAAAUAAAUAAAAAGGUAAAGGAGGCUGAAACAGGACCUGAAUCUCCAAAUCUGGUGCUGAGGGGUGGCAGCCCUGCCCAUUGAGCCACCUUGCUGCCUUCUAUUAAACACAAAUAAAGUUUAUUGCUAUAUAGGUUUUUUUUUAUAUAUAUAUAUAGGUUUUUACUGAAACGAAAAACCCUCUGAGGGUAUAAAGCCGCAACAUUUAGAUUUUUCCUUAAAUAUACCAGCCACUGUCCAUAUCCAUGUUUGUCGUUUGUAUCCCAGUGUGUCCUGUUCAUCCCGGUGUUCUGUCUUCACUUCAUCCGGGGAGCCAAAUCACUUUCUUUUCAUCAUCCAUCUUACAUGUUUGAUUUAUUGGUUACAGUUCAUAUAAAGUUUGCUGAGUUAUCGAGUUACUAUUCCUGACUGCUUUAGACAUAAUGAAUUAUGGUCAAGGUAUGUGGAGGCGGGGGUGUGGCUGUGGAUUUAUAUUUUAUUCAGUUUAUUUUUCGUGAAGGUGUUCGUUCAUUGCCGAUUAACCCUUUAGGGGACGUUAUCUAGCUGAAAUCUGGGAGUGCAGCUCAGGGUGUCAGUUGGCUUAUAAUUUCACAUCCGUUUAGCUGGUAGUCACAGCCCUGCCAGGGUGAUAAAUUGGAAACCCAGAAGCUCUCCACUGGCACCUAAUGUAGCACAGAAUAAGCUACGCAUGCAAUAAACCUCGCCAGACCCCGGGGAGGUGACAUUCUGUAAGAGAACCAGGCUCCUUGGGUGACGCACCAAAUCAAAACAGAAUUAAAACUGGGUUCUGUUUCCCACGGACAGAUAGAAAGACGCAGGAGCCGCACAGUGGUCUGUACCCAGCAUGCCCGGCGUCGAGUCUGCAGCGUGACGUCAGCCUCCGGAUAUCCCUGUCGUCGUAAACUGUCCGUGUCGUUAAUCUCAUCACCCUCCCCGCAGUGAAAAUGGGGAGGCAGGGGGGCAGAUUGUAAUAUGAAGUUUACUAGCAGAAUGAAAGUGAUCUACAAGGACCCGUGUGUGUGUGUGUGUGUGUGUUUGUGUGUGUGUGUGUGUGUGUGUGAGCAAUGGCAACAAAGAAGCUGAAGAAGUCAAGGUAAAGGCAACGUUAACUACAUAACGACACUCCCCCCCCCUCGCGGGCUCCCCGUAACCGUUGUUAAUUUGCUGAAUUUACUGGAGCAAAUGGGCCUGACAAGUAAUACAGUGAGAAACGGGACGGCCAGUACCACCCCCCACGUCCCCGUCCCCCCAUGCACCCCCUGGCACUAUCUAUGAGGUGCUGACACUGGCCUCCUGAUUGGUUUGGACACUUUCAUUUGUACCUGCUUUGGGGGGGAUGGUUGUUAAAAGGUUGUGACAAAUGAGGAAAGUCGGAGUCGUUUUUGUUUUUUGUUUUUUGUUUUCUCCCAGCCAGCAAGACCAUGGAGACUCAGGAUACGAUUUAGUGGCAUGUUAAUUAUCCUGGAGGAUCGUCUCUCGGAUGCAUUGGAGACAGAUAAAAAGAUCUAUCAGGACAGCUGGGAUAACUUACCACUGAGAGAGAGAGACAGAGAGAGAGAGAGAGAGAGGAGAGGAGAGAGAGAGGGGGCGGCAAGUUACUCCAGGUUCUAAAUAGUAUAAAUAAUCAAACUGUCUUUCAAAAAUGUUGUACUGUCAUACUGUCAAUCCCCCUCCCCCCCGAAAGGAUGUAAACGUGGAGCCUGGGAUGGGAUGAAGCAUCCCAGGACAAUCGAGAGCCCUGGGUCUUUUCCGGAAAGAAUAACAGGGCCCUUGACGGGCACAGCACCGACCCCCCCUUGAUUGCAGCAGCACGUGACAGAAUAGCUGUGGGAUUAGCUCUUUGGGGGGAAGCCUGAUGACGUUCCUGCUAUUUUUUUUUUUUUACACCUGGAAGACAGCAAGAGAGCGAACGAGGAAAAUGGGCGCUUUCACACCCGGAGUCGAUUGGCAGCUGCUAUUGGAUGAAACGGCGAAUCCACUGUGGACAAAAGCUGUCAGCUGUGGAUGAAAGCGUUUCCUGCGUGGGAGACGGAUCUGCCCCUUUCCUCGGGACGGAUCUGCAGGGAGCAGACAAAAGUUUCGAAUAAACGUCUUUCUUGUUU
This is a long non-coding RNA of Paramormyrops kingsleyae, 3592 nucleotides long. RefSeq lists it as uncharacterized. Lineage: Eukaryota; Metazoa; Chordata; Actinopteri; Osteoglossiformes; Mormyridae. The record is from RefSeq and is a predicted model, not a curated record.